RNAcentral lists this ribosomal RNA (906 nucleotides) under uncultured Peptostreptococcaceae bacterium. RNAcentral's name for it is "bacterial SSU rRNA". It matches the Rfam family "Bacterial small subunit ribosomal RNA", at positions 8 to 920 of the family's 1533-position model. Lineage: Bacteria; Bacillati; Bacillota; Clostridia; Peptostreptococcales; Peptostreptococcaceae. The record is from RNAcentral.
AGAGUUUGAUCCUGGCUCAGGACGAACGCUGGCGGCGUGCUUAACACAUGCAAGUCGAACGAUGAAACUUCCAUGAUCUAUUCGUAGAGAUUGGGAGCGGAUUAGUGGCGAACGGGUGAGUAACGCGUGAGCAACCUGCCUUAAACAACGGGAUAGCCUCGGGAAACCGGGAUUAAUACCGUAUGAGACCCCGCCUUCACAUGAAGAAGAGGUUAAAGAUUUAUCGGUUUAAGAUGGGCUCGCGUCUGAUUAGCUAGUUGGUGAGAUAAAAGCCCACCAAGGCAACGAUCAGUAACCGGCUUGAGAGAGUGAACGGUCACAUUGGAACUGAGACACGGUCCAAACUCCUACGGGAGGCAGCAGUGGGGAAUAUUGCACAAUGGGGGAAACCCUGAUGCAGCGACGCCGCGUGAGCGAUGAAGGAAUUCGUUUCGUAAAGCUCUGUCCUAGGGGAAGAUAAUGACAGUACCCUUGGAGGAAGCCCCGGCUAAAUACGUGCCAGCAGCCGCGGUAAUACGUAUGGGGCGAGCGUUGUCCGGAAUUAUUGGGCGUAAAGGGUACGUAGGCGGUUUCAUAAGUCAGAUGUAAAAGCGUGGGGCUCAACCCCAUAAAGCAUUUGAAACUGUGGAACUUGAGUAGUGGAGAGGAAAGUGGAAUUCCUAGUGUAGCGGUGAAAUGCGUAGAUAUUAGGAGGAAUACCAGUGGCGAAGGCGACUUUCUGGACACAAACUGACGCUGAGGUACGAAAGCAUGGGGAGCAAACAGGAUUAGAUACCCUGGUAGUCCAUGCCGUAAACGAUGAAUGCUAGGUGUCGGGGGUCAAACCUCGGUGCCGCAGUUAACACAGUAAGCAUUCCGCCUGGGGAGUACGUGGCAACACUGAAACUCAAAGGAAUUGACGGGACC